UACGUAGGGUGCAAGCGUUAUCCGGAAUUAUUGGGCGUAAAGAGCUCGUAGGCGGUUUGUCGCGUCUGCUGUGAAAAUCCGGGGCUCAACCCCGGACUUGCAGUGGGUACGGGCAGACUAGAGUGUGGUAGGGGAGACUGGAAUUCCUGGUGUAGCGGUGAAAUGCGCAAAUAUCAGGAGGAACACCGAUGGCGAAGGCAGGUCUCUGGGCCACUAC
This 217-nucleotide ribosomal RNA is filed under the name uncultured bacterium. RNAcentral's name for it is "partial 16S ribosomal RNA". It matches the Rfam family "Bacterial small subunit ribosomal RNA", at positions 524 to 740 of the family's 1533-position model. The record is from RNAcentral.